RNAcentral lists this ribosomal RNA (1319 nucleotides) under metagenome. RNAcentral describes it as "bacterial LSU rRNA". It matches the Rfam family "Bacterial large subunit ribosomal RNA", at positions 1583 to 2925 of the family's 2925-position model. The record is from RNAcentral.
UUAGGGAAGCGUGUGAGCCAUGUGCCAAGAAAAGCCGCUAUAGUGAUACACAUACCCGUACCGUAAACCGACACAGGUGGAUGAGGAGAGAAUCCUAAGGCCGACGGAAGAAGCAUUGUUAAGGAACUCGGCAAAAUGACCCCGUAACUUCGGGAGAAGGGGUGCCCUGUGAAAGCAGGGCCGCAGAGAAUAGGCUCAAGCAACUGUUUAGCAAAAACACAGGUCUAUGCGAAACCGAAAGGUGAGGUAUAUGGGCUGACGCCUGCCCGGUGCUGGAAGGUUAAGAGGAGAAGUCAGGCAACGAAGCUUCGAAUUUAAGCCCCAGUAAACGGCGGCCGUAACGAUAACGGUCCUAAGGUAGCGAAAUUCCUUGUCGGGUAAGUUCCGACCCGCACGAAAGGCGUAAUGAUUUGAGCACUGUCUCGACAAUGCAUCCGGUGAAAUUGAAGUACCAGUGAAGAUGCUGGUUACCUGCGCCAGGACGGAAAGACCCCAUGGAGCUUUACUCCAGCUUGAUACUGGGAUUCGAUACUGUAUGUACAGGAUAGGUGGGAGACGCUGAGCAUAGAACGCCAGUUUUAUGUGAGUCGCUGUUGGGAUACCACCCUUGCAGUAUUGGAUUUCUAACCUGCACCCAUGACCUGGGUGGGGGACAAUGUCUGGCGGGGAGUUUGACUGGGGCGGUCGCCUCCGAAAGGGUAUCGGAGGCGCUCAAAGGUUCCCUCAGAAUGGUUGGAAACCAUUCGAAGAGUGCAAAGGCAGAAGGGAGCUUGACUGUGACACCGACGGGUGGAACAGGUACGAAAGUAGGACUUAGUGAUCCGGUGGUAUAAAGUGGGAUUGCCAUCGCUCAACGGAUAAAAGCUACCCUGGGAUAACAGGCUUAUCACUCCCAAGAGUUCACAUCGACGGAGUGGUUUGGCACCUCGAUGUCGGCUCAUCGCAUCCUGGGGCUGUAGCAGGUCCCAAGGGUUGGGCUGUUCGCCCAUUAAAGCGGUACGCGAGCUGGGUUCAGAACGUCGUGAGACAGUUCGGUCCCUAUCCGGCGCAGGCGGAGGAUAUUUGAGAGGAGCUGUCCUUAGUACGAGAGGACCGGGAUGGACGGACCACUGGUGUAUCUGUUGGCUAUCAGAGCCAUGGCAGAGUAGCCAAGUCCGGCAGGGAUAAACGCUGAAGGCAUCUAAGCGUGAAGCCCCCCUCAAGAUGAGAUAUCCCUCAGAAAUGAGUAAGACCCCUUGAAGACUACGAGGUAGAUAGGAAUGAGGUGUAAGCACAGCAAUGAGUUCAGCUGACAUUUACUAAUCGGUCGAGGGCUUGUC